RNAcentral lists this ribosomal RNA (460 nucleotides) under uncultured bacterium. RNAcentral describes it as "partial 16S ribosomal RNA". It matches the Rfam family "Bacterial small subunit ribosomal RNA", at positions 338 to 795 of the family's 1533-position model. The record is from RNAcentral.
CCUACGGGAGGCAGCAGUGAGGAAUAUUGGUCAAUGGACGCGAGUCUGAACCAGCCAAGCCGCGUGCAGGAAGACGGCCCUAUGGGUUGUAAACUGCUUUUGUACGAGGGUAAACGCAGAUACGUGUAUCUUUCUGUAAGUAUCGUACGAAUAAGGAUCGGCUAACUCCGUGCCAGCAGCCGCGGUAAUACGGAGGAUUCAAGCGUUAUCCGGAUUUAUUGGGUUUAAAGGGUGCGUAGGCGGUCGGAUAAGUUAGUGGUGAAAUCCCGAGGCUCAACCUCGGAAUUGCAUCUGAUACUGGUAGGCUAGAGAGCAGUUGCGGUAGGCGGAAUGUGUGGUGUAGCGGUGAAAUGCUUAGAGAUCAUACAGAACACCGAUUGCGAAGGCAGCUUACCAAGCUACAUCUGACGCUGAGGCACGAAAGCGUGGGUAGCAAACAGGAUUAGAUACCCCAGUAGUC